This is a non-coding RNA of Elaeis guineensis (African oil palm), 1353 nucleotides long. NCBI's taxonomy places the organism in Eukaryota, Viridiplantae, Streptophyta, Magnoliopsida, Arecales, Arecaceae. The record is from RefSeq and is a predicted model, not a curated record.
ACUAGGAUGUGUCAUUGGCCAUUGUAGUUUGCCUUUGGCUAAGUGCAAAGUGCAACAUGGACUGUGGACAGCUACCUACGGGUUAGUUGGGAAAAAAAACAUCAAGAAGAUUUUAAAAUUCAGCAGUGCAAGGUAUGCAAGAAAGAAUGAAAGAAAACUGCUGUAGCUACGUGGUGUGGUUAUUUCUGCAUAUUUCAGAGCCUGCCCUACGAAUCCAAUUUAAAAGCUAAAACAUAUUGAAGUUUUUGAAAUCAACAUGAAUACCUGUAGUUCACAUGCUUACAAAUUCUUCCACUAUCGAGAUACACAGAUUUGCUAACUAUUCAUCCACUAUUUGUGCAUAAUAUACAAAUCAUUUGAUUGAAUAUUUCAUACUUUUCUGUUUUAUACUUUUUCUGUAACUUCUGGGUCCUGAUGCAGAUGCUGAAGUAGAUAUUGUACUGAACUCUCUUGUUAUAUAGCUCUUGAGAGUCACUAUAAAGAGAAUUAGAAAUGCUAGCCAUGGGCAGUCAGGUCCUUCUUAUGUUUGGUGAUGUUCAGGGAGUAGAAGACAUUUCUUUGUGGCAGUACAGUCAUGGUUAAGAACUACGAGCAUAGCAAAUAUCGGAGGGAAUCAGGAAUUCUGAAGUAUCUGAAGUUAGUGCAGUUGACUUCUUCUUGGUGGGCUAAUGGGUAUCAUCAUCAUUCUACAAGACAAUCAUGAGUUGCGGACCAUGUCAAAAACCUACAAGGCUUUUCCAGCUGCCAUCAGCCGAGCAUAAAAGGAGCCGCACCCCUACCUUUAACACCCACCAGCUCCCGAGAACAGCAGCAGUAGCGUUAACUAUGCCAAGACUUAUGCCUGUCCUCAUUCUUAUUUUCCUAAUUCUUCUUUUCGAGACAUCCUCAAGCCAAGUUCAGAGCAUUGAGGAUGGAAUAGAACCUGGACACUUGCUGAGCAAGAUGCAUGCAAGAAAGGCUCUGGUGGAGGUCACACUGGAUUAUGACAAUGGAGGAGCUAACUCCAAACAUGACCCCAGGAAGGGGAAGCCGGGGAAUGGUGGCAAGAAUCCAUAACUCUCAUUUGCCCCAUCCCCCCAAUUGUGUGGCAAUCACUAAGAGACUAGUCUAUUUUUAUCUCUUCUCUCUCUCUCUCUCUCUCCAUAUAUAUGUGUGUGUGUACCACUGAACAAAGCUAUAGAGAUUAUGAUCCCAUGCUGUGAUUUUUUUAUGGGCAUAGACUUGUUUUGGGUACGGAAGUUGCAUAAAAACCAGUAUGCUUGUUAUUGAGGCGGUGGUCUGUUGUUGAGAUCAUAUACUUGCUCUCUCAUGUCCUCUCCCCUUGAUGAAUGAGUUUCCUAAAUAAACUGAAAG